GGACCCGCACAAGCGGUGGAGCAUGUGGUUUAAUUCGAUGCAACGCGAAGAACCUUACCAGGGCUUGACAUACUGCGAAUCUUUCUGAAAGGAGAGAGUGCCUUCGGGAAUGCAGAUACAGGUGGUGCAUGGCUGUCGUCAGCUCGUGUCGUGAGAUGUUGGGUUAAGUCCCGCAACGAGCGCAACCCUUGUUUUUAGUUGCCAGCAUUUAGUUGGGCACUCUAGAGAGACUGCCGGUGAUAAACCGGAGGAAGGUGUGGAUGACGUCAAGUCAUCAUGCCCCUUACAUUCUGGGCUACACACGUGCUACAAUGGCUAGGACAAAGAGAUGCGACCCUGCGAAGGCAAAUCCUUAAAAAAUACCUCAGUUCGGAUUGCACUCUGCAACUCGAGUGCAUGAAGCUGGAAUU
RNAcentral lists this ribosomal RNA (410 nucleotides) under uncultured bacterium. RNAcentral's name for it is "bacterial SSU rRNA". It matches the Rfam family "Bacterial small subunit ribosomal RNA", at positions 917 to 1333 of the family's 1533-position model. The record is from RNAcentral.